Non-coding RNA from Anolis sagrei ordinatus, 3756 nucleotides. NCBI's taxonomy places the organism in Eukaryota, Metazoa, Chordata, Lepidosauria, Squamata, Anolidae. The record is from RefSeq and is a predicted model, not a curated record.
UCAAACUGAUGGACACCACCUUAAAUGGACAGAGAUUUAGUUCUUUACCUGUGCUGCUUGUUGUAGUUUUUUUAAAAAAAUCCUUGUAAAAUUAGCUGUUCAUUUCUUUUCUCUUUAUUUUCUGUCACUCUGAACACUUUUUCUUCCAUUUCCUACAACCAAAUCAAGGACUGUUUACUUUCUUCUCUUUUUAAAUAUCUUUUUUUAAAGUGAGAGAUUGUGAUUUCUCUUUUAUUUCCUCUUUUUUUUCUUUUGAAAGAAAGUGCUUUGAUAUUAUCUGGAACUAUGCAUAACCGAACAAAAGACAGGUUAGCAGUGCACCUUACAAUGGAAGGAAGAAUGGGAACUCUCAUCCCUCUCCAGACAAAGUGCAGGGGUAAAUCGGACUGUGAGCAUAUGAUCAUGUAAGUUUGAAGUACAACCCAUUAAAUUCAUUGAAACUUGCUUCUAAGUAAGCAUACCUAGGACUGGAAUAUUAAUCAAUAACUGGGAAUUGUAAAAAAAUAUACUUAAGGUUUUCGUAACUGUUGUAUUCUCUUGUCCUCCUCUGGUAAAUGGAAGUAAUUAUUUCUUUCUCACAGUGAUUUUUGUAAGAUGCAUUUGAACUCAUUUUCCAUACACUUUUUGUCCAUUUCUUUUAUUCAUUGCUUUGUAGCAAACCAAUUUAAUGAUUACAAAUCAAUAUAAAUUACACCCUUAGACGGAAGCAUCUAUUCAAUAUCUGAGAAUGAUUGUUAAAUAAAAUUUUCUACAAUUAAGUCAACAUGCUGUGAAAUAAAACCAAAUCAUGUUACCACAAAGGUUAGAAAGGAUGAUUUGCUCUCUCUGAAAUAGAGAUCAUUUGAUCUCAUUGAAUAGCACUUACAUCCACAAUGAAUGACAUUCCCCUUUCUAUGAUAUCUUUUUGAAUAUCUCUUGUUCAUACUUUUUUCUUUUAUUAAGAUCACUGAGUUGAUAGACCCAUUUUCUUCUGUAUUUCCAUAGGAACAUUCAACGGUAAUUCUAUCUGUCGUGUUCUUUGGGCACAUCCACUUCUCCCACCCUGUGUCCCAGAUAUAAAAAGCUAUCUGCCAAACAGUGACAGUAGUUUAACCAUAUAGCAGAAACGAUGGAGAAAUUACCUGCCAUUGGCUUAUUUUGUUCCAUUUAUACCCCAUACCUGUGACCAGGAGAUUUUAGUACUUUUGUCCAAUAUUGUGCUAUUUAACAAGAGUAGCCAGCGAUCCUCACUGUUCUGUGGUGACUCACAUAGGCAUUGUGCAUAUGAACCUACAUGUAGUAUUUUGCCAGCUUAUUAAAAGGCAGUGGCAUCAGCAGGGAUCUCACUUUGGACCCGUUAGGCAUCUGACAUCCCCAUAGAUUUAUGACUGAAAAUAACAUUUUAGUGUGGAAACAUCAACUAUUUGAAUUUACCCUGAGAAACGAUCUGAGAUAGGAUUAGAAAGCAAGCCUUUACGUUUUCCUUGGGGCUUGUUUAUAGCAAGUGUUAUCUAAUUCCUUGCCUACAGAUGUUCAUCCAUUCCAAUAUAUUGGUGAUCUCUAGCUGUGAGAAUAGAUGAGCUUCCAGAGACAAAUGUUUCAAGGUUGCCCAGGAGUUGCCUAAUGCCUUUCACUGUCAGAAUGGCAUGUGGACUUUACUUGCUUAAGAAUUUCUUCACCGCUGUUAAGAGUUCACACUAAAGGGAUAAAUCUGCACAGAGUAACUAAAAAACCAGUGGUGAAAUAGUUUGCAAUAUAUGUAAAAAAAUCUAACCCAAGUAGUUUACAGAACAAAGAGCUUCUCAAAAGGCUGUGUGUACAAAGAUCAUUUUAAAAAUUAUUUCCCUCCAGCUGUAAUUUGAAAUACAGUUUUUACCUUUGUAUACUGUCUUUUGGUCUCAUGACAUGUUUUGUUUUUCACAGUGCUCCAAGCAAAUAAAGAAUAUUCCAUGAGUUCUAUUGUCCUUCAUUCCACCGGAGUCUGUCUCAUAACUAAUCAGAUUUCAGUGGAAUGAAGCACAAGAGACAUGGAGUUGAAUCCACUAAGACUUCAGUUUGACUCCAGAAAGCAAUAUGCUGUACUAAAGCAGUCAGAAGCAGUCUCUCCCAACAUAUUCUGUGUUGGGAAAUGGUAAUGUAGAAAAAAUGAGUAACAAGCAUUUUAGUGGCAUAUGUGUACUUUGAUAUGUUUGGAAGAAAACUUUUGAAAAUCUAUUUAUGACUUAUUUCCAGUGGGUUUUUUUCUCUCUCUCUCUUUCAUGUUUUAAAAAGGAAUGAUUUCUUGAGAAUGUAGAAGUCAAUUGUGGAGCUUCUUUCCAAAUCCAUCUGAACAAGUUUUAUAGGAAUUGAAAAAACAUGCUGAGGAAAUGCAUUCCUUAUGAUAAAAUGCAAUUUUCCAAGUCCUGUACCAAAGUGAUUUGCUACAUCGUGAUAACUUUGUUCUGUACAUAAUAUUCUAUUCCUGGCCAACAAUGUGCUACCAUCUAUAAUUCUUUUUUUCUUUUUUUUGGAUUUUUUACCUUUUGGAAACAAACCACAUAAUCAAAUUCUUACAUGUAUUGUAUUAGAAGUGUGAUCUGAUCAGGCCUGCUAUAGUCCUGUUUGCUUUCCAUGCUCAUGUUUUUCCAAGGAUUAUGUGUAAUUAAUUGGAGGCAGGCAAGCUUUGCCUUUAUUUCUGUUGCCUUGUCUCAGGAGAUCUCACAUUUAUGGCAUGUUGAUGUUAUCAUCAUCAUCACCAUUAUCAUCGUCACCAUCAUUAUUAUGUCACUUUUUUCCCCAAUUUAGGACUCAAAGCAGCUUACAACAACGAAAAAGGUAUAUUUAAAAAUCCACAACAAACAAAGGUGAAAACAUGAUUAAUUAAUUAAAAAACCUUGGCUUAAACAUGCAUAAUUAAAACACACACCAGAAUGAUAGUUGCCCGUUUCCAUGAUAUUGUUUAAGAUGGGCCUUAUCAAAUGCCUGUUGGAAUAGCAAAGUCUUUACUUGUCUGAGAAAAAAGUAGGAAUCAUGUCAGUCUAACUUCUCUGGGAAGGGAAUUCCAGGACCAUGAGGCAGCCACUGAGAAGGCCCUCUCCUACAUUCCCACCUGAUCUACUUGUAUGGGUGGUAGGUCAGAAGAAAGGCCCUUUCCAGUAGACCCCAAACCAUUGACCGGUUUGUAAGGAAAAAUGGGGUCUUUCAAAUAAUCUAAGCCAUGCAGGAUUUUAAAUAACCAGCCGUUUGCAUUCUGCUCGGAAAUUGACAUAGGUAGCCAAGUGGAUCUGUUGCAACAAGAGAGCAAUGUCUUCCAUUCAUAUGUGAUGACCAUUUGCAAUAACGGAAACAUAAAUCAUUUCUGCACUGAAAGCUCUUAGGAUUUUAAAGCCAGGACCCAUAAUAUAGCUUUUACAUCACAUGCGUACAUUGUCUGCUUAGAAGCACUAUUGAGUUCAAUGGGGUUUAAUUCUGAUACGUGAGUGUAUAGAAUUGCAAGCAUUAAAGUGUCACUGCAAAAUCUGCAAAGGUUAAUGCAGUUAAAAAUAUUUGACAGGUAAAACUGUUUUAUCUCACUAAUUGUUCAAAAGAUGUUAUGGCCUUUUCAUAGAUUUAACCUCCCUGAGAGCCACAAGCAAAAAAGACAAGGACUGGCAGACUUUUAAAAGUUCCAAAUCAUUGCUUUUCACCGUAGCUAUGAAUUAUCUCCUUGGAUAGAUUUAGUACUGUGUUCCAAAAAUUAUACAGUAUUUUUAUCUCACUUCCUGCCUAUUUUUUAUUUUACAGUGAUUCUGGGGGGGG